This 484-nucleotide ribosomal RNA is filed under the name uncultured bacterium. RNAcentral's name for it is "bacterial SSU rRNA". It matches the Rfam family "Bacterial small subunit ribosomal RNA", at positions 17 to 518 of the family's 1533-position model. The record is from RNAcentral.
UUCUGGCUCAGGAUGAACGCUGGCGGCAUGCCUAAUACAUGCAAGUCGAACGGGAGUGCUUGCACUCCAGUGGCGAACGGGUGAGUAAUACAUAGGUAACCUGUCCUUAAGACGAGGAUAGCUUCUAGAAAUGGAAGAUAAAACUGGAUAGGACAUCACAAAUCACAUGAUUAGAUGUUUAAAAGAGCAAUCUACUUAAGGAGGGGCCUGUGGCGCAUUAGCCAGAUGGCGGGGUAAUGGCCCACCAUAGCGAUGAUGCGUAGCCGGUCUGAGAGGACGAACGGCCACAUUGGGACUGAGACACGGCCCAGACUCCUACGGGAGGCAGCAGUAGGGAAUUUUCGGCAAUGGGCGGAAGCCUGACCGAGCAAUGCCGCGUGAAUGAAGAAGUAUUUCGGUAUGUAAAGUUCUUUUAUUUGGGACGAAAAAACAAAUUGACGGUACCAAAUGAAUAAGCCCCGGCUAACUAUGUGCCAGCCGCCGC